GACGAACGCUGGCGGCGUGCCUAACACAUGCAAGUCGAACGGGGUAUUGAGAGCUUGCUCUUAAUACUUAGUGGCGAACGGGUGAGUAACGCGUGAGAAACCUGCCUCUCAGUGGGGGACAACAGUUGGAAACGACUGCUAAUACCGCAUGACGCAUAUGGAUCGCAUGGUCUGUAUGCCAAAGAUUUUAUCGCUGAAAGAUGGCCUCGCGUCUGAUUAGCUGGUUGGUGAGGUAACGGCCCACCAAGGCGACGAUCAGUAGCCGGACUGAGAGGUUGACCGGCCACAUUGGGACUGAGAUACGGCCCAGACUCCUACGGGAGGCAGCAGUGGGGAAUAUUGCGCAAUGGGGGAAACCCUGACGCAGCAAUGCCGCGUGAAGGAUGAAGGUUUUCGGAUUGUAAACUUCUUUUACUGAGGACGAAGAAAGUGACGGUACUCAGAGAAUAAGCCACGGCUAAACUACGUG
RNAcentral lists this ribosomal RNA (469 nucleotides) under uncultured bacterium. RNAcentral's name for it is "bacterial SSU rRNA". It matches the Rfam family "Bacterial small subunit ribosomal RNA", at positions 28 to 507 of the family's 1533-position model. The record is from RNAcentral.